RNAcentral lists this ribosomal RNA (167 nucleotides) under uncultured Lactobacillus sp. RNAcentral's name for it is "partial 16S ribosomal RNA". It matches the Rfam family "Bacterial small subunit ribosomal RNA", at positions 367 to 527 of the family's 1533-position model. The record is from RNAcentral. Lineage: Bacteria; Bacillati; Bacillota; Bacilli; Lactobacillales; Lactobacillaceae.
UUNNAUGNNAGCAAGUCUGAUGGAGCACGCCGCGUGAGUGAAGAAGGGUUUCGGCUCGUAAAGCUCUGUUGUUGGUGAAGAAGGACAGGGGUAGUAACUGACCUUUGUUUGACGGUAAUCAAUUAGAAAGUCACGGCUAACUACGUGCCAGCAGCCGCGGUAAUACA